Piliocolobus tephrosceles (Ugandan red Colobus) is the source of this 289-nucleotide long non-coding RNA. RefSeq lists it as uncharacterized. The transcript is spliced from 3 exons. The record is from RefSeq and is a predicted model, not a curated record. NCBI's taxonomy places the organism in Eukaryota, Metazoa, Chordata, Mammalia, Primates, Cercopithecidae.
GAUGUCUUUCUUAACUACCAAUGGCAGGAAUCAGUGUCAUUCAAGGACGUAACUGUAGACUUCAGUAGGGAUGCGUGGCAACAAUUAGACCUUGCUCAGAAAAGCCUGUACAGAGAAGUGAUGCUGGAAAACUAUUUCAACUUGAUCUCAGUGGAAUGUCAAGUUCCCAAACCAGAAGUCAUCUUCAGCUUGGAACAAGAAGAGCCAUGUAUGCUGGAUGGUGAGAUCUCUGGUCAGAGCCGUCCAGGUGAGAAGGGAACCAAGAGCAUGGCAGACAGUAUGACUCAGC